RNAcentral lists this ribosomal RNA (648 nucleotides) under Salmonella enterica subsp. enterica serovar Kalamu. Its description in RNAcentral is "partial 23S ribosomal RNA". It matches the Rfam family "Bacterial large subunit ribosomal RNA", at positions 543 to 1190 of the family's 2925-position model. Lineage: Bacteria; Pseudomonadati; Pseudomonadota; Gammaproteobacteria; Enterobacterales; Enterobacteriaceae. The record is from RNAcentral.
AAAGAACCUGAAACCGUGUACGUACAAGCAGUGGGAGCACAGGUUUACCUGUGUGACUGCGUACCUUUUGUAUAAUGGGUCAGCGACUUAUAUUCUGUAGCAAGGUUAACCGCAUAGGGGAGCCGGAGGGAAACCGAGUCUUAAUUGGGCGUUAAGUUGCAGGGUAUAGACCCGAAACCCGGUGAUCUAGCCAUGGGCAGGUUGAAGGUUGGGUAACACUAACUGGAGGACCGAACCGACUAAUGUUGAAAAAUUAGCGGAUGACCUGUGGCUGGGGGUGAAAGGCCAAUCAAACCGGGAGAUAGCUGGUUCUCCCCGAAAGCUAUUUAGGUAGCGCCUCGUGAAUUCAUCUCCGGGGGUAGAGCACUGUUUCGGCUAGGGGGCCAUCCCGGCUUACCAACCCGAUGCAAACUGCGAAUACCGGAGAAUGUUAUCACGGGAGACACACGGCGGGUGCUAACGUCCGUCGUGAAGAGGGAAACAACCCAGACCGCCAGCUAAGGUCCCAAAGUCAUGGUUAAGUGGGAAACGAUGUGGGAAGGCCCAGACAGCCAGGAUGUUGGCUUAGAAGCAGCCAUCAUUUAAAGAAAGCGUAAUAGCUCACUGGUCGAGUCGGCCUGCGCGGAAGAUGUAACGGGGCUAAACCAU